Molecule: ribosomal RNA, 468 nt
Filed under: uncultured bacterium
Lineage: Bacteria
Description: partial 16S ribosomal RNA
Rfam family: Bacterial small subunit ribosomal RNA
Source: RNAcentral
GACGAACGCUGGCGGCGUGCUUAACACAUGCAAGUCGAACGGAAAGGCCCUGCUUUUGUGGGGUGCUCGAGUGGCGAACGGGUGAGUAACACGUGAGUAACCUGCCCUUGACUUUGGGAUAACUUCAGGAAACUGGGGCUAAUACCGGAUAGGAGCUCCUGCUGCAUGGUGGGGGUUGGAAAGUUUCGGCGGUUGGGGACGGACUCGCGGCUUAUCAGCUGGUUGGUGGGGUAGUGGCCUACCAAGGCUUUGACGGGUAGCCGGCCUGAGAGGGUGACCGGCCACAUUGGGACUGAGAUACGGCCCAGACUCCUACGGGAGGCAGCAGUGGGGAAUAUUGCACAAUGGGCGGAAGCCUGAUGCAGCAACGCCGCGUGCGGGAUGACGGCCUUCGGGUUGUAAACCGCUUUCGCCUGUGACGAAGCGUGAGUGACGGUAAUGGGUAAAGAAGCACCGGCUAACUACGUG